CCGGGAACCCACGAGCCAUCCCGUCGUGGCCCCAUUGGGGUCUCCGUCCACUUUUGGGGUCCCCUGGGGUCUCCAUCCACUUUUGGGGUCCCCUGAGCCAUCCAUCAGGUCCUCAUCGCCCCCAUUGGGUCUCCAUCCACUUUUGGGGUCCCCUGGGCCAUCCAUCAGGUCCUCAUUGUCUCCAGUGGGGUCUCCAUCCACUUUUGGGGUCCUUUAGGCCAUCCAUCAGGUCUCCGUUGAACCCCACGGGUCUCCAUCCACUCUUGGGGAAUUUAGGCCAUCCAUCAGGUCCUCAUCGCCCCCAGUGGGUCUCCAUCCACUUUUGGGGUCCUCUGGGCCAUCCCAAGAGGUCCUCAUCGCCCCCAGUGGGUCUCCAUCCACUUUUGGGGUCCUCUGGGCCAUCCCAAGAGGUCCUCAUCGUUCCCAAUAGGGUCUCCGUCCACUUUUGGGGUCCUUCAGACCAUCCCAAGAGGUCCUCAUUGCCCCCAUUGGGUCUCCGUCCACUUUUGGGGUCCCCUGGGGUCUCCAUCCACUUUUAUGGUCCCCUGGGCCAUCCAUCAGGUCUCCAGUGAUCCCAAUGGGGUCUCCAUCCACUUUUGGGGUCCCCUGAGCCAUGCAUCAGGUCCUCAUUGCCUCCAGUGGGGUCUCCAUCCACUUUUGGGGUUCCCUGGACCGUCCAUCAGGUCCCUGUUGACCUCCAUGGGGUCCCCAUUCACUUUUGGGAUCCCGUAGACCAUCCCAAGAGGUCCCCAGUGACCCCAAUGGGUUCUCCAUACAAUUUUUGGGGUCCAUCUGGUUGCCCUUGUCCCUCCCAAGAGGUCCCCAGUGACCCCAAAGGGGUCUCCAUCCAAUUCUGGGGUCCCCUGGACCAUCCCAGCAGGACCCCAUUGACCCCCAGGGGUCUCCAUGCACUUUUGGGGUCCUUUAGACCAUUCUAAG
This 939-nucleotide long non-coding RNA is filed under the name Chrysolophus pictus (golden pheasant). Its description in RNAcentral is "lncRNA (ENSCPIG00010004534.1)". The record is from RNAcentral. Lineage: Eukaryota; Metazoa; Chordata; Aves; Galliformes; Phasianidae.